CAGUAGCCGCGGUAAUACGUAGGGUGCGAGCGUUAAUCGGAAUUACUGGGCGUAAAGCGUGCGCAGGCGGUUCGUUAAGACAGAUGUGAAAUCCCCGGGCUUAACCUGGGAACUGCAUUUGUGACUGACGGGCUAGAGUAUGGCAGAGGGGGGUAGAAUUCCACGUGUAGCAGUGAAAUGCGUAGAGAUGUGGAGGAAUACCGAUGGCGAAGGCAGCCAUCUGGCCUAAUACUGACGCUGAGGUACGAAAGCAUGGAGAGCAAACAGGAUUAGAUACCCCCGUAGUCCCUGUCUCUUAUAA
This 301-nucleotide ribosomal RNA is filed under the name uncultured bacterium. RNAcentral describes it as "partial 16S ribosomal RNA". It matches the Rfam family "Bacterial small subunit ribosomal RNA", at positions 509 to 809 of the family's 1533-position model. The record is from RNAcentral.